CUCGCCUACGGGAGGCAGCAGUGAGGAAUAUUGGUCAAUGGGCGGGAGCCUGAACCAGCCAAGUCGCGUGAGGGAAGACGGUCCUAUGGAUUGUAAACCUCUUUCGUCGGGGAGCAAAGAGACCACGUGUGGUCAAAAGCGAGAGUACCCGAAGAAAAAGCAUCGGCUAACUCCGUGCCAGCAGCCGCGGUAAUACGGAGGAUGCGAGCGUUAUCCGGAUUUAUUGGGUUUAAAGGGUGCGUAGGCGGGACGGUAAGUCAGCGGUAAAAAUGCGGAGCUCAAAUCCGUCGAGCCGGUGAAACUGU
RNAcentral lists this ribosomal RNA (305 nucleotides) under uncultured bacterium. RNAcentral describes it as "bacterial SSU rRNA". It matches the Rfam family "Bacterial small subunit ribosomal RNA", at positions 334 to 636 of the family's 1533-position model. The record is from RNAcentral.